AGUGAACGCUGGCGGUAGGCCUAACACAUGCAAGUCGAACGGCAGCACAGAGGAGCUUGCUCCUUGGGUGGCGAGUGGCGGACGGGUGAGGAAUACAUCGGAAUCUACUCUGUCGUGGGGGAUAACGUAGGGAAACUUACGCUAAUACCGCAUACGACCUACGGGUGAAAGCAGGGGAUCUUCGGACCUUGCGCGAUUGAAUGAGCCGAUGUCGGAUUAGCUAGUUGGCGGGGUAAAGGCCCACCAAGGCGACGAUCCGUAGCUGGUCUGAGAGGAUGAUCAGCCACACUGGAACUGAGACACGGUCCAGACUCCUACGGGAGGCAGCAGUGGGGAAUAUUGGACAAUGGGCGCAAGCCUGAUCCAGCCAUACCGCGUGGGUGAAGAAGGCCUUCGGGUUGUAAGGCCCUUUUGUUGGGAAAGAAAUCCAGCCGGCUAAUACCUGGUUGGGAUGACGGUACCCAAAGAAUAAGCACCGGCUAACUUCGUGCCAGCAGCCGCGGUAAUACGAAGGGUGCAAGCGUUACUCGGAAUUACUGGGCGUAAAGCGUGCGUAGGUGGUUAUUUAAGUCCGUUGUGAAAGCCCUGGGCUCAACCUGGGAACUGCAGUGGAUACUGGAUGACUAGAAUGUGGUAGAGGGUAGCGGAAUUCCUGGUGUAGCAGUGAAAAUGCGUAGAGACCAAGGAGGAACAUCCAUGGCGAAGGCAGCUACCUGGGACCAACAUUGACACUGAGGCAUGAAAGCGUGGGGAAGAAAACAGG
RNAcentral lists this ribosomal RNA (763 nucleotides) under uncultured Stenotrophomonas sp. RNAcentral's name for it is "bacterial SSU rRNA". It matches the Rfam family "Bacterial small subunit ribosomal RNA", at positions 28 to 776 of the family's 1533-position model. Lineage: Bacteria; Pseudomonadati; Pseudomonadota; Gammaproteobacteria; Lysobacterales; Lysobacteraceae. The record is from RNAcentral.